This 282-nucleotide unclassified non-coding RNA is filed under the name plant metagenome. RNAcentral describes it as "partial contains small subunit ribosomal RNA, internal transcribed spacer 1, and 5.8S ribosomal RNA". The stretch from base 1 to 51 matches the Rfam family "Eukaryotic small subunit ribosomal RNA", at positions 1778 to 1831 of the family's 1831-position model. The record is from RNAcentral.
GGAAGUAAAAGUAACAAGGUUUCCGUAGGUGAACCUGCGGAAGGAUCAUUAUUGUAUAACCGAGGUGCGAGGGCUGUCGCUGACCCGAAAGGUCGUGCACGCCCGAGUGCCCUCACACACAUCCAUCUCACCCCUAUGUGCACCACCGCGUGGGUCCCCCUUUGGCUUGUUCGGAGGGGGGCUUACGUUUUCACACAAACUUUGUAUGCAGUGUAGAAUGUAUUUUUUGUUUUUGCGAUCACGCAAUCAAUACAACUUUCAACAACGGAUCUCUUGGCUCUC